GUGGGUAGCCGGGUUGAGAGACCGACCGGCCAGAUUGGGACUGAGACACGGCCCAGACUCCUACGGGGAGGCAGCAGGUGGGGAAUCUUGCACAAUGGGCGAAAGCCUGAUGCAGCGACGCCGCGUGCGGGAUGAGGGCCUUCGGGUUGUAAACCGCUUUCAGCAGGGGACGAGGCCGCAAGGUGACGGUACCUGCAGAAGAAGCCCCGGCUAACUACGUGCCAGCAGCCGCGGUAAAU
RNAcentral lists this ribosomal RNA (239 nucleotides) under uncultured Atopobium sp. Its description in RNAcentral is "partial 16S ribosomal RNA". It matches the Rfam family "Bacterial small subunit ribosomal RNA", at positions 279 to 525 of the family's 1533-position model. The record is from RNAcentral. Lineage: Bacteria; Bacillati; Actinomycetota; Coriobacteriia; Coriobacteriales; Atopobiaceae.